Long non-coding RNA from Passer domesticus (house sparrow), 1110 nucleotides. RefSeq lists it as uncharacterized. The transcript is spliced from 3 exons. The record is from RefSeq and is a predicted model, not a curated record. Lineage: Eukaryota; Metazoa; Chordata; Aves; Passeriformes; Passeridae.
CAAGUGACCAGCAGGCACUGGGCAGAGCAUUACACAGUGGUAGAGAGAAGGAAACAACCAUUUAUGUUGUCUUCUUCACAUAUUGUCAGCAAUGCCUAAGAGGACACAGGAGUGAACAUUUUUGGAAUUCUCCAGAACAUAUCAUCCACUACAGGGAGGAACAACUGGAUGAUCAGCAGCACCAGCAGAGUUGUGCAGCAGGUCUAAUCACAGGCUGGAGAAAGAUACCAGACAUAUUUCAUCCUUUUGGAAACCAGAUUUCAACUCCUUUCCCCACACAGAAGAAGUCAUUAAGGUACAAAUAAGAACUGAUGUCCAGCAACCAGCCAGGAGUCCAGAGUGGGGCAUCACACAGAGGAACGUGUGGCAGAUCACAGGAAAUGUGGUCUUGCCCUGCAAAAUGCCAGAACAGACUGGAAACCUGAAUGCCAAAGGUAAUAGGAAUGUGUUGAUUGAAAACCAAUAAACACAUUCCUAUUGUAAUGUAUUGAUUGAAAACCAAAGAUCACUUAUGCCAUGAAGACAAGUGUGAAGGGUGUUUGGGAAAGAGGGAUAAGGCUCAGGAUGUCUGUCUCCUGCUCCAGUUUUUGAUAAUAAAUAAGUUUACACUCAAUAAAAGGAUAUCCAUCUACAGUAUAAAUGGCUGUUCCUCAACUAUUUGCCAAGGCUCCUGUUCAGACAGUGAAGGCAAAGCUUGAGCAUGAUUUUUCUGUCCUAAAGCAUGCAUUUUAAAAGAGUUAUCUGGGUAAGACCUUAGAAAUAUCUAUUUCUCUGCCCUGUCCACAAAAAGAAAGCUGAUAGCUACUUUGAAUGAAGCUGAUUCUACUAAAGUAAACUGAAAUAAAUUCCACUCAUGAUCUGGAUCUCAGACAAAAUGCACUCCUAGGUUUGAACAUUACCAUAGAAGAAUUAUCAAUGUCAUUUCAGCAUGGGGAUCCUUGUGUAAAAAUGUGAGGGAGGAGGAACAAAUUUCAUUGCAGUUCAAAGUACUCCAAGAUUAUAUACUCCAAAAUUAAGGGGGCUGGGGAAGGCCACAGCAUUCAUCCUCUGAUAGUCUGGCUGCACAAACUAAAGACUCACAGGAUGAGCUAGAGCCAAUAUCCCUCUAAU